RNAcentral lists this non-coding RNA (28 nucleotides) under Bombyx mori (domestic silkworm). The record is from RNAcentral. Lineage: Eukaryota; Metazoa; Arthropoda; Insecta; Lepidoptera; Bombycidae.
UAACAUCUCUUAGUGUACACGGGUUUGC